UAACGAAUCUUGGGCAAUGGGCGCAAGCCUGACCCAGCCAUGCCGCGUGAAGGAAGACGGCCCUACGGGUUGUAAACUUCUUUUGUACGGGAAAAAACCACCGGUCGAGCAUCGGUGCUGAUGGUACCGUAAGAAUAAGCAUCGGCUAACUCCGUGCCAGCAGCCGCGGUAAUACGGAGGAUGCAAGCGUUAUCCGGAUUCAUUGGGUUUAAAGGGUGCGCAGGCGGAAUGAUAAGUCAGUGGUGAAAUCCUACGGCUCAACUGUAGAACUGCCAUUGAUACUGUUGUUCUUGAGUAAAGUUGGAGUGGGCGGAAUGUGUUGUGUAGCGGUGAAAUGCUUAGAUAUAACACAGAACACCGAUCGCGAAGGCAGCUCACUAAGCUUUAACUGACGCUCAUGCACGAAAGCGUGGGGAUCAAACA
RNAcentral lists this ribosomal RNA (423 nucleotides) under uncultured prokaryote. Its description in RNAcentral is "bacterial SSU rRNA". It matches the Rfam family "Bacterial small subunit ribosomal RNA", at positions 355 to 774 of the family's 1533-position model. The record is from RNAcentral.